This 425-nucleotide ribosomal RNA is filed under the name uncultured bacterium. RNAcentral describes it as "bacterial SSU rRNA". It matches the Rfam family "Bacterial small subunit ribosomal RNA", at positions 355 to 772 of the family's 1533-position model. The record is from RNAcentral.
UGGGGAAUAUUGGACAAUGGGCGCAAGCCUGAUCCAGCCAUACCGCGUGGGUGAAGAAGGCCUUCGGGUUGUAAAGCCCUUUUGUUGGGAAAGAAAUCCUAUCGGUUAAUAACCGGUGGGGAUGACGGUACCCAAAGAAUAAGCUCCGGCUAACUCCGUGCCAGCAGCCGCGGUAAUACGGAGGGAGCUAGCGUUGUUCGGAAUUACUGGGCGUAAAGGGCUCGUAGGCGGCCAACUAAGUCGGACGUGAAAUCCCCAGGCUCAACCUGGGAACUGCGUCCGAUACUGGAUGGCUUGAAUCCGGGAGAGGGAUGCAGAAUUCCAGGUGUAGCGGUGAAAUGCGUAGAUAUCUGGAGGAAUACCGGUGGCGAAGGCGGCAUCCUGGACCGGCAUUGACGCUGAGGAGCGAAAGCCAGGGGAGCAAA